AGCAGCACAGCAUCAGAUGCUGCCUUGCCAUACCAGGCCUGCCAGGCAGUCUGAGGAUUAAAGGGAUGUGGUAAGUAGAUGGGGACCCUGUGUGGACUGUGGGCCUGGGUAGGGAUUGCUCAGGUCACAGGACAGCCUGGCCCGAAGCUCCUCCUCAAGCCUGCCUGGGAUGGGAAGAAAAGCCCCAUUUUCUGCCUCUGGGAAUCAGGCUGACAUGUGCCCUGUGUGACAUGUGUCUCCUGUGACAUACAUCAACAAUUAUAACAUGUGCCCCACAUGACAUGCAUCAGUAAUCAGUGGAGAAUUUAGACAGGGCAUGUGACCAAAGGCCAGGAACAGGAUCCCCGAUGACGGUGACUCCAUUUGACCAAGCCGAGGGACUGGGAAACAGCUUGUGACCCCAUGGUCAUGGAGAAUUUUCUGUAGGUUCCUUUUGAGUGGUUCCUAACUCCUAAUUUCAACUGUGGUAAGGCUGCAUUUGAAUGGGGGAGUCCCUUCUGCUGCCAAAAUGAGUAUGCAAGCUGCUGAGGGCCCCUUGGACACUGGCUUUAACAGGAAGAUGCCCUCUACCUCCCUGAGGGCCUGGCUACAGCUUACCUCUUGUCCCCAGAGGAUGCCAACCAGCCUGGCAGGCUGAAGGCCAGGGUUGGGAGGGAUGAGGCUAGCACCUGCCUACCGGCAGAUGACAGGGAAGGAGUGUGUGGUGUCACUGAAGUGCAGCCUUGGGAGUAAGAGGUCACCCUAGAUUAGGAGGGAGGCUGGAGUUGGAGACGUCUGGGGUCAGGGAGGACUGAUGCCAGACAAGAGCCUGUUAUUCUCACUGAGCAGUCUUAGAGGAAGCUAGACCUCAGUCUUGGUCAGUUGAGCCUGGAGGUAUGGAAGGCAGCCACAAGGUUCCUAUCCUGAAGGGAAGCCAGGCAUACUCAAGGUGGGUCUUCCCCUUGGGGAGGAACCUGUCACUCUGGAAAGCUGGGGACUUCAGGGAUGGGGAACUUAAUGCAGUGAACUUGUGUGAUGCUGAUGUCCUUUCCAGGGAACAGGGUAGACUGUCAUUAAAAAAGGCCCUUUGAUUAAGAACCCCAGUGUCCCAUUCCAGGGACACUGCUGCCACUCCUUUCCCAGGAGACCCAGCUGUCUGUAACCGGUCAUUCCCCUGGCCACCCGGCCCCUGAUCACAUGAGCAGCAGGCUGGUGACAAUCUGCAGGACCAUGCUAGAGGCACUUUAAACCACAGUGGGGCUCAGGAUUCCUAGCCAAGACUAGGCCAGGAGAGCUGGUGAGGAAAGGAUGCCAGACUCACAAGGUAUCUUGCCCUGGAAGGCCUGAUGCAGGGCAUGCAAGGAGCUGCACUGCUCUCUCUUGCCAGGAACAUUUGGACAAGGUAAGAGAUAGCAUGCCCAGUCCAGAUCACUCAGAACCACUGAACCUCAUAAGAAUACACAUAAUAAACCAGGCGUGGUGACACAUGUAAUCCCCACACUUAGGAGGUGGAGGCAAGAGGACUGGAAGUUCAAGAUCAUCAUCCUCAUCUACAUAGCAAGUUCCAGGCCAGCUUGGACUACGACAAAGGAGCUGGGAAGGCAGAUGGGAAGGACCUCAGCCUGGCCUGCUGGUGCUAUGGCCUGGAGUAAAGGAUAUCACAUCUGAACUCAUCUUCUGGUCUACCAUCUGUGGGCACCUGCUUGCCAGCUCUGUAAUAACUGAGUGAAGACACUGAGCAGCAGCGGCUGGCAACUGACUGGAACAUACUGAACUUUCAGCAACUGACGGUCUGGAGUCUCUGAGUGCCUCAAGAGUGGGCCCCAUUGUGCAGGCUGGGCCCAGCCUAGAGCGUCUCAAAUGACCCAAGCACCUAGGGAACAGCCACCUGAUCUGAGGGCUCCGUGGAAGAAGAGUUUGGAAAUGGCUGAGGUAUUGGACUGCACCUGUCAGGAGUCAGACAGACUUGAGCUUGAAUUCCAGCUAACUGACGUGCUAUGUGACUCUGGACAUGGUCUAGAGGCCUGAAGGCUCUCUAAGAGGAACCAAAGACAACUUGAGGGAUGCUGGAAAGACGGCUCAGUGGUUAAGGACAUCUACUGCUCUUCCAGAGUUCCUGAGUUCAGUUCCCAGCACCCACAUCAGGAGGCUCAUUACUGCCUAUAACACCAGCUCCAGCGGAUCCAGUGCCCCCAUGGGUACCUUCACGUGCACAUAUACAUAA
Long non-coding RNA from Nannospalax galili (Upper Galilee mountains blind mole rat), 2203 nucleotides. RefSeq lists it as uncharacterized. The record is from RefSeq and is a predicted model, not a curated record. Lineage: Eukaryota; Metazoa; Chordata; Mammalia; Rodentia; Spalacidae. The transcript has 5 exons.